UCCCGGCAGUCCAAGUUGCAACCAUUUUUAUUGGGUCUAAAACAUCCGUAGCUUGCUUAAUAAGUUUCUUGUGAAAUUCCACAUCUCAAGUGUGGAGCGUGCAGGAAAUACUAUUAAGCUAGGGACCGGUAGAUGUAAGGAGUACGUCAGAGGUAGUGGUAAAAUAUGUUAAUCUUUGGCGGACUAACAAUCAGCGAAGGCACCUUACAAGGACGGAUCUGACAGUGAGGGAUGAAGGCCAGGGGCGCAAAAC
RNAcentral lists this ribosomal RNA (253 nucleotides) under uncultured archaeon. RNAcentral describes it as "partial 16S ribosomal RNA". It matches the Rfam family "Archaeal small subunit ribosomal RNA", at positions 474 to 725 of the family's 1478-position model. The record is from RNAcentral.